This 276-nucleotide long non-coding RNA is filed under the name Elaeis guineensis (African oil palm). Its description in RNAcentral is "long non-coding RNA (EGUI_LNC059926)". Lineage: Eukaryota; Viridiplantae; Streptophyta; Magnoliopsida; Arecales; Arecaceae. The record is from RNAcentral.
CACCGAAGCAGUGCAGGCCAUGCAGCAGCAGCAGCAACAGCCGCAGGCAUCAGUGCGGUUGGAAAGAGCAUCAUCAGAGUUCCAAAAUCCGACAGUAGGGUGGGCCACUUGGGCCAGUCGCCCUGUCUUCCUCGGAAAGGGAAAUCCGAGGGUGGAGAGCCCUCGGUUUGAUCACGAUUCCACUCCCAGAGGAUCCCUACCUUCAUUCUGCCAGAAGACCCUCGAGACUCGUAGUCGAGAGGACCUCCUGGAUCAAAGGCUCCAGGAGAUGAGCCG